This 248-nucleotide ribosomal RNA is filed under the name Mantidactylus sp. 9 MV-2009. RNAcentral's name for it is "partial 16S ribosomal RNA". Lineage: Eukaryota; Metazoa; Chordata; Amphibia; Anura; Mantellidae. The record is from RNAcentral.
UUCAAACCCAACUACACCCCUAACUCUAUAGCCCCUCAACCACACUGGCCCCUGUAUAGUUGAUUUUAGGUUGGGGCGACCACGGAGUAAAACAAAACCUCCAUAAUGAACGGGCCUACCCCCUUAUCUAAGAACCACACCCCCUAAGAAUUAGAAUACUAACAUAAAAUGAUCCAUUAUUUGAUUAAUGAACCAAGUUACCCUAGGGAUAACAGCGCAAUCCAUUUCGAGAGCCCAUAUCGACAAAU